CUGUGCUCCAGAGGAGCCCUUCUUUGCCCCAUCAGAGCAGGGGCUGCCAGGAGGGCGAGUGGCAGUGGGGCUCUGGGUGGCUCUUCCAGGGGUGGCGGGGGGGCCCUGUGCCUCACGGUGCUGCCGCUGGGUGCUCACCACGUGCAGCUGGGUGCUCACCAUGCACUGGCAGCUGCUCACCGUGCAGCACUGGGUGCUCACCAUGCACUCUCCAUCCUCCCCCACCUUGGUGACGGGGUCCCAGGAGGCUCCUGGGAGGGGGCAAUGGGUGACGCUGGCCCGGGGAGGGGGUUUUGGCCACGUGAUGGGCAGAAGGAGAAGCAGCGGGGAGCAAGGAGGGCGGUGCAGGAAGUUUGAUCGAGGUCUCCACACGAGGAUCAUGCAUUACAUUUCCAGGCCACAGAAACCACACUGGAAAGUUCGCGUCGCGUUACUCGCUGUCAGGGCCGGGGCCGGGACCGGAGGAGCAGCGCGGCGCGGAGCCCAGGCGGCCUCUCGGUGUCAUUAACAAAACAAACAAACAGCAUUGCCCAUAAUGAGCUCCGGCUUCGGGCGGAGGAGGGGUGAUUAAAGCAGGCUGCCAGGCGCUGGGGGGGCCCCGUGCCCGGCUAUCGCCGUGCUCCCACCCAACUCCUGCUGGGGAAGGGUGCCCCGAGCCCCCAGCGCCCGGUUCAGCGCUCAGCACCGCCUGGUCCGAGUCCUCAGCGCUCCCCAUCCCCGGCGAGGCUCUCACCCGAAGCUCACAGCUCUACUCAACAUGUAGUGAAUGGACUCGGCUGAUCCGAAGCAGCACCUUAAUGCGAGCACACUGCUGGCCGGGGAGGUUCCACGCAGCAUCCCGUGCCGAGCUUCCCCACUGCUGGGGCCCUGUGCCCGCUCUGCUGCUGGGUGCCGUGAUGCUGCGCACUGGGGCACGGCGCCGUGUCGGGCUCGUGGAAAAGCCAGAAUUUCUGGUUUCCAUAAAGGAAUAUGGAGAAUAUUAUCUGGCUUUGUGGUCUGGAGCCCUACGCCCCAGGAUCUCAACUGAAAACCUGCUCAAGAGCAUUCUUCUGCUGGUGGUUUCGGAAAGGGCAGAUUGCAGCAUUGCACCCAGGACAAGUCACUCACUUAUGGCUUACGUGCUGCUCUUCAUUACCUUCCAGCCUGGGCACAUCCGAGGAGCUCAACACUAUUCCCAGUCCCAGGACAGCUCUUCGCUCCCACUGCUGGUGCCAGCAACACUUCAGGUGCUCUUCUGGCUCCCAGCUCCCAACCCUGUAUUUCCUCAGAAGCCACUGGUGCCCAGAACUGAGGGCUGGUGCAAAGCCGAGCACAUUCCUGCACAGAGCUCAGUUGCCUUGCUGCAGGAACAACAUGGCAUGGCAGGGCACACCACGGCACUGCAUGACAUGGCAUGGCACAGUGUGGCCCCUCUGCUGGGCAGUGGUCCUUGUUCCUGAAGGAAUUCACCCGUGUGGGACCUGUGCUGUGCUGAGGGAUCCAGACGUGAGCAGCAGAUAUCUCCUCCGUGCCCAUCCCACGUCUACGUGAAAUACCCAGAGGCGCUGGCUCGCAGUGAGGGCUAAUGAGCGGAUUAUUGCAGCAUUUUAAAACUCAGCUGUUUCAUAAAUAGGGUUUACCCAGUGAAACCAAGAAGACAUUAAAAAAAAAAAAAAAAAGACGUUCACCCCCUUCUCCACACCUCAGCAGCUCCCUAAUAGCAGGCUCAGCAGUGCUUGAGGCCUCAUUUUUCAAACUCUCCUAUCUCAAAGACAUCGCUCUCCAUUACUAUCAAGCCUCUCCCUCCUGCUCCAGUUCUCCAGCACCCAGAAUCCAGGUGCACACUGUGCCACCAAGAGCAGCAUGGGGCUUUCAGCCUCAUCACUGCACGAGUCCAUGGGCAGGAGGGCAGCAGGGCUCAGUGCUGAGCACAGCCCUGUCCUUGCUGCUUGCAGCGGUCACCAUUCCCCAGGGCCAGCAGAGUGCUUGCAGGUCCCUGCAUCUCACUGGGAGCGUCUUCCAGGGGUGGCAUUGCAACAAGAUUGUCCCAGAGCUGCCCAUGGGGUAAGAAAAACCCAGUUAAUUGGUUAUUGUGCUGGCCUCAAGCACUCACGAAAGCAAUCAGCACCUGUUCCCUGAGCAGUGCCCUCUUGCAGGGAAUGUUGUGCGCUCUGUGUUCUGCUCUCCAGUGUCCCCACCACUUCCCCAAAGCAUUGCCAAGCAUAGGGUGUUCUGGUCACCUCUGUUUCUCCAGAGGGAGCAGGGAAGGCAGAAAGAGAGGAGCUGAGGAGCCAUCGAGAGGGGUGCAGAGGAGAGAUCUGUGUGUUGGAAACGUGGAACCGACACAGCGCGGCCUCGAAGGACCUUCCAAUUUAGGGCAAGCAGGUUGCUGCUAGGCAGGAAGAACAUUUAAAGCAAAGUGGGGUUCAAAUAGCUGACACUUCUUAGGCAAUUACUAUU
This is a long non-coding RNA of Numida meleagris (helmeted guineafowl), 2439 nucleotides long. The record is from Ensembl. Lineage: Eukaryota; Metazoa; Chordata; Aves; Galliformes; Numididae.